Molecule: long non-coding RNA, 212 nt
Filed under: Carica papaya (papaya)
Lineage: Eukaryota; Viridiplantae; Streptophyta; Magnoliopsida; Brassicales; Caricaceae
Description: long non-coding RNA (CPAP_LNC010159)
Source: RNAcentral
UCAAACAUCUUUCCAUUUCAACACUCUCUCCACCAAAUUUUGCCACUUGAAGCAAAUCCAAUGACCCCCAUUUUUUUAUAAAUAGGGCCUUUCCUCCCAUUUUCUAAUCACUUCCAUUCUUCCACCUUCCAAGAGAUUAGAGAGAGAGAGAGAGUGAGUGAUCUAGAGAAAAAAGGAGAGGAAGAAAAGAAGAACGGUGUAGAAAAAACUUC